RNAcentral lists this long non-coding RNA (435 nucleotides) under Erythranthe guttata (spotted monkey flower). Its description in RNAcentral is "long non-coding RNA (EGUT_LNC000887)". Lineage: Eukaryota; Viridiplantae; Streptophyta; Magnoliopsida; Lamiales; Phrymaceae. The record is from RNAcentral.
UGUGAAACUUGGCUGAAAUAAUCAAGAUUAAAGAAAGAAAAAAAGAAAACAAUUAACCGAGUAUAAAGAAUAUUCUACAAUAUUGAGUUUCGCUAUAUUCAAUAAGAAUAACAAAAAGGGGGAGAAAAAGAAAAACCCUACGAAUUGAAUCAGUAAGGAAGCAGAGUUUCGAAACAAUAAAUCCCAUCAAGCUCCGGUGCGAGCCUCGGCGCUCUAAUUCUCCGGCGAUCUUCCGGCUUCUUCGUCGUCGGCAGCGAAGAGGAAUUGACGACGGUUUCAGCGGCAGCCGCGCCGUGCUUGUUAGUAUUGGGAGGCGGCGGAGCACAAGAAAAGCCGGCGACUUUCUGGCCGAAAUAAUAGUCGGCGGAAAGUGCUUCGAACGGGCUGAAAAUCGACGUCGACAUAUCUAUUGAAUUCGAAAAAUCAGAAGAAUUU